Molecule: ribosomal RNA, 408 nt
Filed under: uncultured eukaryote
Lineage: Eukaryota
Description: partial small subunit ribosomal RNA
Rfam family: Eukaryotic small subunit ribosomal RNA
Source: RNAcentral
GCUUGUCUCAAAGAUUAAGCCAUGCAUGUCUAAGUAUAAACAACUUUAUACAGUGAAACUGCAGAUGGCUCAUUAAAUCAGUUAUAAUUUAUUUGAUGAUUAACUUUACUACAUGGAUAACCGUAGUAAUUCUAGAGCUAAUACAUGCGAAAAGUCCUGACUUCUUCGUGAGGGAGGGAUGUAUUUAUUAGAUAACAGACCAUCUCCCCCAAAGGAAAUGUGGUGAAUCAUAGUAACUAAUCGGAUCGCAUGGGCUUUGCCCGCGACAAACCAUUCAAGUUUCUGCCCCAUCAGCUUUCGAUGGUAGUGUAUUGGACUACCAUGGCUAUUACGGGUAACGGAGGAUUAGGGUUCGAUUCCGGAGAGGGAGCCUGAGAAACGGCUACCACAUCUAAGGAAGGCAGCAGG